GCAUAACGCGAAGAACCUUACCGGGGCUUGACAUCUUUCUGACCGCCUGGGAAACCAGGUCUUCUUCCUUCGGGAAGACGGAAAGACAGGUGGUGCAUGGUUGUCGUCAGCUCGUGUCGUGAGAUGUUGGGUUAAGUCCCACAACGAGCGCAACCCUUGUCCUUAUUUGCCAGCCUGUUUACAGGCGUACUUUAAGGAGACUGCCGUAGAUAAUACGGAGGAAGGUGGGGAUGACGUCAAAUCCUCAUGCCCCUUACGUCCCGGGCUACACACGUGCUACAAUGGUCUGUACAGAGGGUAGCCAAGAAGCAAUUCGGAGCCAAUCCCAAAAAGCAGGCCCCAGUUCGGAUUGGAGCUGCAACUCGCCUCCAUGAAGUCGGAAUCGCUAGUAAUCGCGGAUCAGCACGCCGCGGUGAAUCCGUUCCCGGGUCUUGUACACACCG
Molecule: ribosomal RNA, 443 nt
Filed under: uncultured bacterium
Lineage: Bacteria
Description: bacterial SSU rRNA
Rfam family: Bacterial small subunit ribosomal RNA
Source: RNAcentral